Molecule: transfer RNA, 74 nt
Filed under: Pararhodospirillum photometricum DSM 122
Lineage: Bacteria; Pseudomonadati; Pseudomonadota; Alphaproteobacteria; Rhodospirillales; Rhodospirillaceae
Description: tRNA-Cys
Source: RNAcentral
UCCACGGCGGCAACGGUGCGAAAGCCCUGGAAGAUAUUUUGCUGGACCGUCACUCCCGCAGACAAGGGGCUCAG